This 253-nucleotide ribosomal RNA is filed under the name uncultured bacterium. Its description in RNAcentral is "partial 16S ribosomal RNA". It matches the Rfam family "Bacterial small subunit ribosomal RNA", at positions 524 to 776 of the family's 1533-position model. The record is from RNAcentral.
UACGUAGGGGGCUAGCGUUGUCCGGAAUCAUUGGGCGUAAAGAGCGUGUAGGCGGCCCGGUAAGUCCGCUGUGAAAGUCGGGGGCUCAACCCUCGAAUGCCGGUGGAUACUGUCGGGCUAGAGUGCGGAAGAGGCGAGUGGAAUUCCUGGUGUAGCGGUGAAAUGCGUAGAUAUCAAGAGGAACACCUGAGGUGAAGACGGGUUGCUGGGCUGACACUGACGCUGAGGCGCGAAAGCCAGGGGAGCAAACGGG